GCAAUAAGUUACUUGAUAAAUCAGGAUAAUUUGGGAAAGUAAGGCAACACGACGAAAUCGACGGCGUCGAACAUAUGUACGAGGAGCUGGCGCAGCAGCGCAGCCUGCAGCCGAUCGUGAAGAUGAACAGCUCUUACUAUUAGAAAUCCUUGAGGGAC
Nicrophorus vespilloides is the source of this 158-nucleotide long non-coding RNA. RefSeq lists it as uncharacterized. The transcript is spliced from 3 exons. Lineage: Eukaryota; Metazoa; Arthropoda; Insecta; Coleoptera; Silphidae. The record is from RefSeq and is a predicted model, not a curated record.